GGAGCAGGACAAAUGGUCGCUGUUCUAUGUUUUACAUAGAAGGGAGGAAAGUCCGGGCUCUAUAGGGCAAGGUGCUCCGUAACACGGAGUCCCGGUGACGGGAAGGAAAGUGCCACAGAAAAUAUACCGCCCUAUUAGAUGGCAAGUCCGUCUAAUUGGGUAAGGGUGAAAAGGCGAGGUAAGAGCUCACCGCUCCGGUGGUGACACCGGAGGCUUGGUAAACCCCACCUGGAGCAAGACCAAAUAGAGGGACGUUUGAGGGCUGCCCGUCCGAGUCCCAGGGUAGGUUGCUUGACCCUAAUAGCAAUAUUGGGGCUAGAUGAAUGACCAUUGUCCCGUAGAGGGUGACUGAUACGGGAAACAGAACCCGGCUUAUGGACUGCUCUAACA
RNAcentral lists this RNase P RNA (390 nucleotides) under Pseudomonadota bacterium. RNAcentral describes it as "Proteobacteria bacterium (cold seep metagenome) RNase P RNA component class A". It matches the Rfam family "Bacterial RNase P class A". Rfam says of the family: Ribonuclease P (RNase P) is a ubiquitous endoribonuclease, found in archaea, bacteria and eukarya as well as chloroplasts and mitochondria. Its best characterised activity is the generation of mature 5'-ends of tRNAs by cleaving the 5'-leader elements of precursor-tRNAs. Cellular RNase Ps are ribonucleoproteins. The record is from RNAcentral. Lineage: Bacteria; Pseudomonadati; Pseudomonadota.